Molecule: ribosomal RNA, 1396 nt
Filed under: uncultured bacterium
Lineage: Bacteria
Description: partial 16S ribosomal RNA
Rfam family: Bacterial small subunit ribosomal RNA
Source: RNAcentral
AGAGUUUGCUUUUGGCUCAGGAUGAACGCUAGCUACAGGCUUAACACAUGCAAGUCGAGGGGCAGCAUGAACUUAGCUUGCUAAGUUUGAUGGCGACCGGCGCACGGGUGCGUAACGCGUAUCCAACCUUCCCGUUACUCAGGGAUAGCCUUCCGAAAGGGAGAUUAAUACCUGAUGGUGUUCAAAUCGCGCAUGUCAUUUGGACUAAAGAUUCAUCGGUAACGGAUGGGGAUGCGUUCCAUUAGCUUGUUGGCGGGGUAACGGCCCACCAAGGCGACGAUGGAUAGGGGUUCUGAGAGGAAGGUCCCCCACACUGGAACUGAGACACGGUCCAGACUCCUACGGGAGGCAGCAGUGAGGAAUAUUGGUCAAUGGCCGGGAGGCUGAACCAGCCAAGUAGCGUGAAGGAUGAAGGUUCUAUGGAUUGUAAACUUCUUUUAUACGGGAAUAACACCACCUACGUGUAGGUGCCUGCAUGUACCGUAUGAAUAAGCAUCGGCUAACUCCGUGCCAGCAGCCGCGGUAAUACGGAGGAUGCGAGCGUUAUCCGGAUUUAUUGGGUUUAAAGGGAGCGUAGACGGGACGUUAAGUCAGUUGUGAAAGGCUGCGGCUCAACCGCAGCACUGCAGUUGAUACUGUCGUCCUUGAGUGCGGUUGAGGUGCGUGGAAUUCGUGGUGUAGCGGUGAAAUGCUUAGAUAUCACGAAGAACUCCUAUUGCGAAGGCAGCGCACCAAGCCGCUACUGACGUUGAGGCUCGAAAGUGUGGGUAUCAAACAGGAUUAGAUACCCUGGUAGUCCACACGGUAAACGAUGGACACUCGCUGUUGGCGAUACAGUGUCAGCGGCCAAGCGGAAAGCAUUAAGUGUCCCACCUGGGGAGUACGCCGGCAACGGUGAAACUCAAAGGAAUUGACGGGGGCCCGCACAAGCGGAGGAACAUGUGGUUUAAUUCGAAGCAACGCGAAGAACCUUACCAGGUCUUGACAUCGUAUGCAUAACAUAGAGAUAUGUGAAAUCCCUUCGGGGACAUAUAGACAGGUGGUGCAUGGUUGUCGUCAGCUCGUGUCGUGAGAUGUUGGGUUAAGUCCCGCAACGAGCGCAACCCUUACCAUUAGUUGCUACGCAAGAGCACUCUAAUGGGACUGCCGUUGACAAAACGGAGGAAGGUGGGGAUGACGUCAAAUCAUCAUGCCCCUUAUGACCUGGGCUACACACGUACUACAAUGGCAAUUAACAAAGAGCAGCGAAGCGGUGACGUGGAGCAAAUCUCCAAAAAUUGUCCCAGUUCGGAUUGCAGGCUGCAACUCGCCUGCAUGAAGUCGGAAUUGCUAGUAAUCGUGGAUCAGCAUGCCACGGUGAAUACGUUCCCGGGCCUUGCACACACCGCCCGUCAAG